RNAcentral lists this small RNA (911 nucleotides) under uncultured zygomycete. RNAcentral's name for it is "eukaryotic LSU rRNA". The stretch from base 627 to 911 matches the Rfam family "Eukaryotic large subunit ribosomal RNA", at positions 1 to 281 of the family's 3401-position model. The record is from RNAcentral. Lineage: Eukaryota; Fungi.
CUUGGUCAUUUAGAGGAAGUAAAAGUCGUAACAAGGUUUCCGUAGGUGAACCUGCGGAAGGAUCAUUCAUAAUAAGUGUUUUAUGGCACUUUUUAAAUCCAUAUCCACCUUGUGUGCAAUGUCAGUCGAUCUUCUUCAUGGAGAUCGACCAAACAUCAACCUUUAUUUUUUAACUCUUUGUCUGAAAAAUAUUAUGAAUAAACAAUUCAAAAUACAACUUUCAACAACGGAUCUCUUGGCUCUCGCAUCGAUGAAGAACGCAGCGAAAUGCGAUACGUAAUGUGAAUUGCAGAAUUCAGUGAAUCAUCGAAUCUUUGAACGCAUAUUGCGCUCUUUGGUAUUCCGAAGAGCAUGCUUGUUUGAGUAUCAGUAAACACCUCAAAGCUUUUGGAUUUUUUAAUCGAAAAGCUUUGGACUUGAGCAAUCCCAACACCAAUCUUUUUGAGAUCGGUGGCGGGUUGCUUGAAAUGCAGGUGCGGCUGGACAUUCUCCUGAGCUAAAAGCAUAUUCAUUUAGUCCCGUCAAACGGAUUAUUACUUUUGCUGCAGCUAACAUAAAGGGAGUUUGACCGUAUUGGCUGACUGAUGCAGGAUUUCACAAGGGUCGGCAACGAUUCUUGUUAAACUCGAUCUCAAAUCAAGUAAGACUACCCGCUGAACUUAAGCAUAUCAAUAAGCGGAGGAAAAGAAACUAACAAGGAUUCCCCUAGUAACGGCGAGUGAAGCGGGAUGAGCUCAAAUUUAAAAUCUGGCUGGUUUACUAGUCCGAAUUGUAGUUUAUAGAAGCGUUUUCGGUGGCAGCCUGGGUAUAAAUCCUUUGGAAUAGGGUAUCAUAGAGGGUGAGAAUCCUGUCUUUGACUCAGUGCAUGCUACUAUGUGAUACGUUUUCAAAGAGUCGAGUUGUUUGGGAAU